This 1402-nucleotide long non-coding RNA is filed under the name Homo sapiens (human). RNAcentral describes it as "PREDICTED lncRNA (TCONS_00027011)". The record is from RNAcentral. Lineage: Eukaryota; Metazoa; Chordata; Mammalia; Primates; Hominidae.
ACAUAGGUCCCCAGAGAAUUUCAAUAUGUCUGAUGUCAAGAACGGAAAGUGAGACAGCCAGGUGGGAGGGGGUCCCUGGAGAAUCUCCAACCAGCCUGCGCACUGGGAAUGCGCACUGGAGUGAAAAUACAGAAGUUGGUGCCCUUUGCAGCAGCCAGGAGUCCGACUCCUCCUCUUCCUGUGUGGAACCUGGAAUUCAAACGGCUGGGGCCUCACUCACGGCAUAUGGAACUAACCACGCCCCUAACUAAGAAGGCACACCUUAGUUGCAGUUAGCACACAAUUAAAGCAACUCUCCAAGUUUUACCUUAAAGUUCAAAAUUGCUAGGAGUUGAAACUACUAGAAAUAUAUUUACAUGCAAGAGUCAAAGAAACUUUGAACUAUUUAUGGCCUUUAAUAAUUAAGUAAGGUAUACUCCUGUGAUCAAGACUUGGAGCAUAUUUGUUUCUCUCUGCCUGGUUCCUCUAGAAAUUGGAAACUAUCAGAACAGAGACCAACUCCGUUUCCCGAUCCCUUUGCAAUCUGCAUUGAACCAUGAGUCAAGUUCUUGAUAAAGGAGUGAAAAUGGAUGACAUUUAAGGCACAUCUGAAGAUGGGGAAACCACAGCACAGAAUAAGGCUGGGCCCUUGAAUCAAUAAAUGAAGGAGAACUACUCAAGAGAACAAAACCACCAGCAAUAUCCACCUGUAUUUGUCUUUUCAUAAUGUGUGACACAUGUGCUCAUGGAUUAUUGUCCGAAGCAAGACAUGUGACCAAGCCUAACAUCAACUGGGUGAAGAGCUAUAUGUUCCUUUCUCAAGAGGCACUACAAGUGACAUGCCACUGGGCAGUUUAGCAAAAGCUGGAGGUGCCUUGACAUUUGCAGUACACUGAAACAGUGGCUGGCUUGAAAAAUCCCAAAACGAUUUUCUGCAGGAGAGCCCUUUUGACUAAUAUGAGGUAAGAUGUGCCUGCUUCCCCUUCUGCCAUGAUUGUAAGUUUCCUGAAGCUUCCCCAGACAUGUGGAACUGCCCAUCCGUGGCUGCCCAUGGACCAAUCAGCAUGCGCUUCCUCUCUUCUGAGCUCAUGAAAACCCUGGACUCAGCCAGACUUGCACACUCGUCAGGACAACAUCCCUGCAGAAAGGAGCUACUUGCCAUGUUUCUCCUCUCCUCUGUGAGCUGGAACCCCAUCAGGACAACUUGCCUAUGGAAAGGAGCUACCCACUUUGGGUCUCCUGAAAGCUGUUUUGUCACUCAGUGAAGCUCCUCUGCCUUCCUCACCCUCAAAUUGUCCAUGUAUCUCGUUCUUCCUAGAUGCAGGAAAAGAACUGGGACCUGCUGAAUGGUGAGAAUGAAAGAGCUGUAACACAAACAGGGCUGAAAUAUGCCCCCUGCUCACCACAUUGUGAGUGAUGAGGA